Molecule: ribosomal RNA, 489 nt
Filed under: uncultured bacterium
Lineage: Bacteria
Description: partial 16S ribosomal RNA
Rfam family: Bacterial small subunit ribosomal RNA
Source: RNAcentral
GAUGAACGCUAGCUACAGGCUUAACACAUGCAAGUCGAGGGGCAGCAUGGUCUUAGCUUGCUAAGGCCGAUGGCGACCGGCGCACGGGUGAGUAACACGUAUCCAACCUGCCGUCUACUCUUGGACAGCCUUCUGAAAGGAAGAUUAAUACAAGAUGGCAUCAUGAGUCCGCAUGUUCACAUGAUUAAAGGUAUUCCGGUAGACGAUGGGGAUGCGUUCCAUUAGAUAGUAGGCGGGGUAACGGCCCACCUAGUCUUCGAUGGAUAGGGGUUCUGAGAGGAAGGUCCCCCACAUUGGAACUGAGACACGGUCCAAACUCCUACGGGAGGCAGCAGUGAGGAAUAUUGGUCAAUGGGCGAGAGCCUGAACCAGCCAAGUAGCGUGAAGGACGACUGCCCUAUGGGUUGUAACUUCUUUUAUAAAGGAAUAAAGUCGGGUAUGGAUACCCGUUUGCAUGUACUUUAUGAAUAAGGAUCGGCUAACUCCGUG